CGCCUCUUGGCACAGUAUAAGAGGUCCAGCCUGCCCGGUGACAUAGUUUAACGGCCACGGUACCCUGACCGUGCGAAGGUAGCAUAAUCACUUGUUCUUUAAAUAGGGACUUGUAUCAAUGGCAUCACGAGGGCUGCACUGUCUCCUCUCUUCAGUCAGUGAAACUGAUCCCCCCGUGAAGAAGCGUGGAUUAAAUUAUAAGACGAGAAGACCCCAUGGAGCUUUAAACAAUGUGCUCACACUAUGCUAAUAUAUCAACUCACUAAUAAGCCCUGGGCACAAGUUUUAGGUUGGGGAGACCGCGGAGUACAAACUAACCUCCACGACAGAUGGCUUAUGCCUUAUCUAAGAGCCACAGCUCCAAGAAUCAAGAUAUUGAUGUCUAUGAUCCGAUAUUCGAUUAACGAAUCAAGUUACCCUGGGGAUAACAGCGCAAUCUACUUUGAGAGCCCUUAUCGACAAGUAGGCUUACGACCUCGAUGUUGGAUCAGGGUAUCCUUGUGGUGCAGCAGCUACUAAUGGUUCGUUUGUUCAACGAUUAAAACCCU
RNAcentral lists this ribosomal RNA (548 nucleotides) under Amnirana lepus (Andersson's Cameroon frog). RNAcentral describes it as "partial 16S ribosomal RNA". It matches the Rfam family "Bacterial large subunit ribosomal RNA", at positions 1829 to 2597 of the family's 2925-position model. Lineage: Eukaryota; Metazoa; Chordata; Amphibia; Anura; Ranidae. The record is from RNAcentral.